GUACCUAACUAUCCAAAAUAUUACUUUUUUUUUCAUUUAAAGUGAAUCUCGUUUUUGCUGAUCUAUAAUGAGGGUAAUAAUUUCUGCAGAGCGUUGAGAGGUGCUUCAAGGAUAUAAUCAAGAGUUCGGGAGAUAAAACGAUGUUGCAUAAUUUUAUUUCAAUUUGAGAUAAAUGUUGAGAAAAUUUGAUUUUUUAUUGCAACUACUUGAUUGUAUGUACAAGUGAAGCUCUGAUUUGAUGUGUCUGUGGAGUAAGUGAGUGAUCAAUCAUGUAUACAAAGUUUUUAUUUAUUUUUGUUAUUAUUUUUGAAGCUUUUCGAAAAAAUGAAGGCCAAGUCACAAUUAAGGACACGGUCCCAAUUUCCAAAAGAUUUGAAGCCGAAGGAAUCGUUCCUCAUAUGAUUGAUUGCCCUCCAAAUUACACAGCCACAGUAACUUUCCCAUAUGAUGUGAGGGUAUUCCCAGGUUUGAUAUUGAAUAUAUUAGAAGUUGAUACGAAACCUAGACCAAGAUGGAGAGCCAUAGAUGAUGCCACAUAUUACACCAUAAUCAUGAUUAGUUUGUCCAGAUUUACCCCAACAUAAUGUUCCCUAUGCUGAAUGGAAUCCUUGGAUAGUUCGCAAUAUUCCUGGUUUGAAACGUGCCAAAGGCCAGACCAUUAUUCCUUAUAAUAUGCCUGAAGAGCCACGUCGAAAUGCAACAUUUUUAAUGUACGUGUUCUUGAUUUACAAGCAAAAUGAAUACAUUACUUAUAAUGAUUCGUAUUACCAAAAUGAAGGGAUGAUUGAAAGAGGUGAAUUCAGAGUACGAAAAUAUACUCAAAUUUAUAACCUGACCUGUCCCGAAGCUGGCAAUUAUUACGUGUUGACUUUUUAUCAACCUCCUGCAGCGGUAGAAACUACCAGAAGUACUGUUCACUUUGAGUGGUGAUUUCUGAAUGAUUUCUCUACUGACGGAUUUUAAAUCUAACUAAAUGAAUUAUGUAACUCGAUUUCGAUAGUAUUUUAAUUUUUUUAUUUAUUUUGUUGAAUAAAUUUAUAUUUUUUUUUA
Planococcus citri (citrus mealybug) is the source of this 1050-nucleotide RNA transcript. It is a transcript of the gene named putative odorant-binding protein A5, with no coding region annotated. The transcript is spliced from 6 exons. The record is from RefSeq and is a predicted model, not a curated record. NCBI's taxonomy places the organism in Eukaryota, Metazoa, Arthropoda, Insecta, Hemiptera, Pseudococcidae.